CAACAGAGAGGUGGACUAGACCCCUCCACCCCCUGGGUGAUUUUCUCCUGACCAGCACGGCAGGCUCGUGGGUAGCAGCAGGGAAGAGCUUUGCUUCAGCGGCGUGAGAGCAAAUCCUGCAGCGCAGUUGCGGUCUGCUCCCUGGGCUUCAUUAAAGAGCAUCUGCAAAGGCCUUGAAGUCCUCACUGGACAUCUUACAACAUCAUCGUGAGCAGUCAUAGCAACACCAUCCCGGGCUGGCACAAAGACUCCGACUUGUGAUGAAGAUAUCAAACCCAAGGUGUACUGCAGCCAGCUCAAAGCAAACCCGAAAUUACAGUCUCUGCAGGGAGAAGUGACAGCCCUGCUACAGAGAUCAAGGAUUUAUGGAGAUGGGGCAGCCAGAUCUCUCUCUUGCAUCCUGAUAGCUGAUGUGACACAUCAGGUGUCAGGGUAGCUCCUAUUCCUAAGAGGUUAAACAAGUCGUACGAUCAGGAGGGGCUGACAUGUUGGUCCAGGCGAGGAGUGAAUCAUUAAGUUAUAUUCCCAUUGCUGAGACAGGCAGCAGCAGCAGCUCAGUGAGGUUUACGUAGCCUCAGGUGAGCUGUACGACAGGAAAAUAUACAUCUGACGUGAGGUUAUUUUCUUCACGAAUCGGAUAAGGAGGUUUUGGGAGUGAAUCAUACAGGGAGAAAUAUCAUCAACCUCAGCAUCUCAUACUUGCAAACUUAACCUUGAGGACACUGGUAGGGUCAAGGUUGGGGGGGAUGGAAUUUUGACAUAUUUACAAUUAAGAAGCCGCAGAUAGAGGCUGGAGUGCUGCCCCAGCUCUGCUCCAGCCCGGGCGGCGAGGAGGGGCGGGCAGAGCUGUGCGGGAGGGAGCGCUCGGCGUGCGGGUACCGCAGCACAUAUGGCGAGCCCGGCCACACGCUGCUCCAGAGCUGUGCAAUCCGGAACCACAAGGGCACACGCCACGCAGAAAAUACCGGCUCUGGUCCCUGGCUAGCGCUGGGACUUUCUGCUCAGAGGCAUAGCAUUGCCUGAACUAAUGGCUUUUCACAGUGGAAAGGGUUUGUUUACAGAGUGUUCUCGAAAGAGACAAAAAUGACACCGGUUAUACAAGAGGAUGCCGACUGCAGCAGCUACUCACGGCAAAAGGCUUGUGGUUUUUAGGUGAUUUUAGGAGCUGGGAGGAUGGGAGAUGCGGCAGGCAAGGAGCCUGAGGAUGCUGUACCACAAAAUUGUGAUGUCUUCUGUCUCCUUGAUGAUCCUCAGGGAAUGUCACUUCACUUUGCUGAAUAAGGACCCUCUCCGCUCUCCUCAUGUUGGGCCACUGAACCUGUAACCUUCUUAUUCACUGGGAGCUUCCCUGAUUCCCAUCAAGAAUCCUCUUGCCCCCAUCUUAUGACAUAUUAAAAGUUAGUCUUCAAGGGAAACAGACGACAGAAUUUUAAUUUAAUUUUUUAAAAAACAAACAACCACCUAAAAUAUCAAAAGCAAUACUUCUACUGAUAACCUCCAUUCCUCAUGUUUGAGGAGCUGCUCCCAGCCUGCACAGUUUACCUGGGUAGAGUAAGUUGUCUCUGAUUUCAGUGCCAGGGCAUCUAGAGGAAGUUUCAUUAUUCUAAUUUAGCAUGAAAAUACAUUUAAAUAGCAUUUCAGUUUUGCCCUUUCACAGCAUUAAGUAACUGCAAGAAUCUUUUCAAGAGCAAUUGCCCACAGCUUUUUGCGCAAACAUUCUCCUUACAAAAGUCUCAUGAUGAUUUGGGAGAAGCAAUAAGGGAAAAAUAUGCUUCA
Myiozetetes cayanensis is the source of this 1776-nucleotide long non-coding RNA. RefSeq lists it as uncharacterized. The record is from RefSeq and is a predicted model, not a curated record. The transcript has 3 exons. Lineage: Eukaryota; Metazoa; Chordata; Aves; Passeriformes; Tyrannidae.